This 546-nucleotide ribosomal RNA is filed under the name uncultured bacterium. RNAcentral's name for it is "bacterial SSU rRNA". It matches the Rfam family "Bacterial small subunit ribosomal RNA", at positions 362 to 917 of the family's 1533-position model. The record is from RNAcentral.
UCUUCGGCAUGGGCGCAAGCCUGNCCGACGACGCCGCGUGUGCGAUGAAGGCCUUCGGGUUGUAAAGCACUGUCGAGGGGGAGGAAAGCCGCAAGGCCUGACCUAUCCCUGGAGGAAGCACGGGCUAAGUUCGUGCCAGCAGCCGCGGUAAGACGAACCGUGCAAACGUUGUUCGGAAUCACUGGGCUUAAAGGGCGCGUAGGCGGGUGGCCAAGUCAGGGGUGAAAUCUUUCCGCUCAACGGGAAAACAGCUUCUGAUACUGGCCGUCUUUGAGGGGGGUAGGGGCAUGUGGAACUUCCGGUGGAGCGGUGAAAUGCGUAGAUAUCGGAAGGAACGCCGGUGGCGAAAGCGACGUGCUGGACCCUUUCUGACGCUGAGGCGCGAAAGCCAGGGGAGCAAACGGGAUUAGAUACCCCGGUAGUCCUGGCCCUAAACGUUGGGUACUAGAUUGUGGACUUAACAUGGGUUCACAGUCGAAGCAAAAGUAUUAAGUACCCCGCCUGGGGAGUAUGGUCGCAAGGCUGAAACUCAAAAGAAUUGACGGA